This 371-nucleotide ribosomal RNA is filed under the name uncultured bacterium. Its description in RNAcentral is "bacterial SSU rRNA". It matches the Rfam family "Bacterial small subunit ribosomal RNA", at positions 28 to 407 of the family's 1533-position model. The record is from RNAcentral.
GACGAACGCUGGCGGCGUGCUUAACACAUGCAAGUCACGGGGGCUGGAGCAAUCCAGUAACCGGCGAACGGGUGCGUAACACGUGAGCAACCUGCCGUACUCAGGGGGAUAGCCGGCCCAACGGCCGGGUAAUACCGCAUACGUUCUCGCAGGGGAGUCCCUGUGGGAGGAAACCUCCGGGGGAGUACGAGGGGCUCGCGGCCUAUCAGCUAGAUGGCGGGGUAACGGCUCACCAUGGCGACGACGGGUAGCUGGUCUGAGAGGAUGGUCAGCCGGAUUGGGACUGAGAUACGGCCCAGACUCCUACGGGGGCAGCAAUUAGGAAUCUUGCGCAAUGGGCGAAAGCCUGACGCAGCGACGUCGCGUGGGGA